GGCACUAUAGUUCAAUUGGUAGAGCAUCACUCAUGAAGACUGAAGGCUGGGGAUUUGAAUCCCUCUAGCGCCA
Mycena floridula is the source of this 73-nucleotide non-coding RNA. The record is from the annotation of a GenBank genome assembly. NCBI's taxonomy places the organism in Eukaryota, Fungi, Basidiomycota, Agaricomycetes, Agaricales, Mycenaceae.